GAGUUUGAUCGUGGCUCAGAUUGAACGCUGGCGGCAUGCCUUACACAUGCAAGUCGAACGGCAGCAUGAUCUAGCUUGCUAGAUUGAUGGCGAGUGGCGAACGGGUGAGUAAUACAUCGGAACGUGCCCUGUAGUGGGGAUAACUAGUCGAAAGAUUAGCUAAUACCGCAUACGACCUGAGGGUGAAAGUGGGGGACCGCAAGGCCUCAUGCUAUAGGAGCGGCCGAUGUCUGAUUAGCUAGUUGGUGGGGUAAAGGCCCACCAAGGCGACGAUCAGUAGCUGGUCUGGGAGGACGAUCAGCCACACUGGGACUGAGACACGGCCCAGACUCCUACGGGAGGCAGCAGUGGGGAAUUUUGGACAAUGGGCGAAAGCCUGAUCCAGCAAUGCCGCGUGUGUGAAGAAGGCCUCGGUUGUAAGUAC
Molecule: ribosomal RNA, 424 nt
Filed under: uncultured microorganism
Description: bacterial SSU rRNA
Rfam family: Bacterial small subunit ribosomal RNA
Source: RNAcentral